Molecule: ribosomal RNA, 1266 nt
Filed under: metagenome
Description: bacterial SSU rRNA
Rfam family: Bacterial small subunit ribosomal RNA
Source: RNAcentral
AGAGUUUGAUCCUGGCUCAGGAUGAACGCUAGCGGCAGGCCUAAUACAUGCAAGUCGAACGGCAAGUUGAGUAGCAAUACUUGACCUAGAGUGACGUACGGGUGCGUAACACGUAUGCAACCUACCCAAAACAGGAGUAUAGCUCGGGGAAACUCGAAUUAACCCUCCAUAAGAUAGUAGCAGAGCAUUCUGCAGCUAUUAAAACUCAGGUGGUUUUGGAUGGGCAUGCGUUUGAUUAGCUAGUUGGUAGUGUAACGGACUACCAAGGCGAUGAUCAAUAGGGGAACUGAGAGGUUGAUCCCCCACACUGGCACUGAGAUACGGGCCAGACUCCUACGGGAGGCAGCAGUAGGGAAUAUUGGUCAAUGGAUGCAAGUCUGAACCAGCCAUGCCGCGUGCAGGAAGAAGGCCUUCUGGGUUGUAAACUGCUUUUGUCAGGGGAUAAAAAAUUCCUUGCGAGGAAUAUUGAAGGUACCUGGCGAAUAAGCCACGGCUAACUACGUGCCAGCAGCCGCGGUAAUACGUAGGUGGCGAGCGUUGUCCGGAUUUAUUGGGUUUAAAGGGUGCGUAGGCGGUCCUAUAAGUCAGUGGUGAAAUAUCUCAGCUCAACUGAGAGGGUGCCAUUGAUACUGUAGGACUCGAGUGAAUUUGAGGUAGGCGGAAUUGACGGUGUAGCGGUGAAAUGCUUAGAUAUCGUCAAGAACACCGAUAGUGAAGACAGCUUACCAAGCUUCAACUGACGCUGAGGCACGAAAGUGUGGGGAUCAAACAGGAUUAGAUACCCUGGUAGUCCACACUGUAAACGUUGAUUACUCGCUGUUGGCGAUACACAGCCAGCGGCUAAGCGCAAGCGAUAAGUAAUCCACCUGGGGAGUACGCCGGCAACGGUGAAACUCAAAGGAAUUGACGGGGGUCCGCACAAGCGGUGGAGCAUGUGGUUAAUUCGAUGAUACGCGAGGAACCUUACCUGGACUAGAAUGCCCUUGACCGAUCCAGAGAUGGAUUUUUCCGCAAGGACAAGGAGCAAGGUGCUGCAUGGCCGUCGUCAGCUCGUGCCGUGAGGUGUUGGGUUAAGUCCCGCAACGAGCGCAACCCUUAUCUUUAGUUGCCAGCACGUAAUGGUGGGGACUCUAAAGGGACUGCCUGCGCAAGCAGAGAGGAAGGAGGGGAUGACGUCAGGUCAUCAUGGCCCUUACGUCCAGGGCUACACACGUGCUACAAUGGCGUAUACAAAGUGUUGCAAGCCAGCGAUGGUGAGCCAAUCAC